GGGGGGCGGGCGCAUUGGUCCCGGAGUCGCGGCUGCGCCUGUUCGCUGGCGUCAUGGCACCCAAAAAGAAAGGGAAGAAAGGCAAAGCCAAAGGCACCCCGAUUGUCGAUGGGCUUGCUCCAGAGGACAUGAGCAAGGAGCAGGUGAGCAGAGUGGGCUGUGGCCCAGUCCCUGGGUGGGUGUGGGUGGGCAUCACGCAGGGUGCCUGCAUGAACCUCUCACGUGGCAGCGCCGUGUGUCCAUCUCACCAUGUGGAUCCACUGUUCUGUCCAAGCCAGAACACGCCCCCUGUGUGGCCGGUAAUUCCCAUCAGCGGCAAAGCUUUUGGCUGCACCAUAUCUUUUCAGAAAGGCAGUGCCGCCUGUUAAAGAGGUUUGUAAUAAGGCGGUAGGAGUGUGGAAGGACGUGUUUUUCUGAUCUAAAAGCUGUUUUUAAUUU
Molecule: small RNA, 438 nt
Filed under: Pongo abelii (Sumatran orangutan)
Lineage: Eukaryota; Metazoa; Chordata; Mammalia; Primates; Hominidae
Description: retained intron
Source: RNAcentral